AUGCGGAUAACCGCGCUGCUCUGGCUUUUGCCCAGCCGGAGCUUUCCAGCGCCACAACAAGCCAGUUCCCCUGGUCCCGUGUUCCCUAGCUACCGCACACCCUGGCAGGGGAGCACUCCGGAUACCCAACUCCGGAGGGAGCCRRGCCAGGGCACUGCCUGGAGAAAUCCCGUGGGAAAUCUAGCCUUGCACCGGUGGGGAUGGAAGGACGCGGCAGAGCCGGGCACGGAUGCUCGCUGCCUCCCCGGGAGCGGGGUUCCCCCACCGGCUGCCUCGGGAAGCCGCGGCGGCCGCCCCGCGUUUGCUCCUCCUCCGCCACCGCCGCCCUGCGCGGCCUCGGUCCGAUCCCUUCGCCUCCUCGCCCAGCCGGGGCCGUUGAAGCUCUGCGUGCGGCUCGGCCCGUGGCGCGGCCUCCGCCCGGAGCUGGCGGCGCGGCCGCUCGCCCGCCUCUGUUGGCCCAAGGAGGAGUCCCUGUGCCGCCCUGCCCUGCCGCGAGCCGGAGGCAGAGACGGAUCCGGCCUCGCUUCCAGGAACCAGGAGCAAUUCGCGGGGCGGCCGGGCGACAGCUGGUGCCGCGGGCGGCAUCCCCGUGCCGCAGCGCCGAGCCGUCCCCGCGUCCUGCCACCCUUUACGGGAGAGCAACCGGUGCGGGGGGGGGGGAAAACCGGAGCGUCGGGAGCACGGAGCAGCCGGCCGCCCCGCAUCCCGCGGCGGCACCGCCGGCGGCCGCGUUAUCGGCACGGCCGGGUUGUUUGCUGGAAAAGGGCGGCAGCGGGGCUGGGUGACCCAACACUUCCUUCCUUUCCUGGAAGCCGCUUGCUCCGAGCGCGACGCUCGCGCGCUGAUAACCGGCCGCUUUCGCAAGCCGCCCGCGCCCGUGCGCCCCGGCUGCUCCGGCUCCACCGGCACCGCCUCGCCGGCCGGCUUCGUGCCUCGGUUUCCCCCCUCGCAGCGGUGGGAAGGCGAAUGCAAGAAGUGGGAGCGCACGGAGGUGCUUUGCUGCACCGUGUGUGUGAUGAAGUGUGUCGGGUCUCAGCCCACGGAGCCACAUGGUGCCCGUGCCCGGGAGCUGUCACAUCCCUGGUGCUUUGCCUGACGUCACGCAGGAGAGGCCAAGACCUGCCUAAACCCUCCCGGAAAGGGGGCCCAGGAGUCCUGGCUCCAAGGCAUCUGCUCCCGGGACACUGGUUUGCAGCUCCUGGGGUGGCUCAGAGCCGGGUCGGCGUUGGCAGCAUCCGACCCGGAGGCGGCUCAUGUCCCCCGGAAAGCCGGACCCCGGAGGGGAUCCCACACCCCCCGCCGGCUGCUCGGGAGGAGGCUGGGACGCCUGGGCCCCUCCGCCGGGGAGCGGGAGCCGGGGCGGAGGCGAGGAGGAAGUUUGCAGGGCGGGCGGCCGCGGGCAGGUAA
RNAcentral lists this long non-coding RNA (1407 nucleotides) under Apteryx haastii (Great spotted kiwi). RNAcentral's name for it is "lncRNA (ENSAHAG00000003057.1)". Lineage: Eukaryota; Metazoa; Chordata; Aves; Apterygiformes; Apterygidae. The record is from RNAcentral.